RNAcentral lists this ribosomal RNA (497 nucleotides) under uncultured bacterium. RNAcentral describes it as "partial 16S ribosomal RNA". It matches the Rfam family "Bacterial small subunit ribosomal RNA", at positions 28 to 507 of the family's 1533-position model. The record is from RNAcentral.
GAUGAACGCUGGCGGCGUGCCUAAUACAUGCAAGUCGAGCGAACGGACGAGAAGCUUGCUUCUCUGAUGUUAGCGGCGGACGGGUGAGUAACACGUGGAUAACCUACCUAUAAGACUGGGAUAACUUCGGGAAACCGGAGCUAAUACCGGAUAAUAUUUUGAACCGCAUGGUUCAAAAGUGAAAGACGGUCUUGCUGUCACUUAUAGAUGGAUCCGCGCUGCAUUAGCUAGUUGGUAAGGUAACGGCUUACCAAGGCAACGAUGCAUAGCCGACCUGAGAGGGUGAUCGGCAACACUGGAACUGAGACACGGUCCAGACUCCGACGGGAGGCAGCAGUAGGGAAUCUUCCGCAAUGGGCGAAAGCCUGACGGAGCAACGCCGCGUGAGUGAUGAAGGUCUUCGGAUCGUAAAACUCUGUUAUUAGGGAAGAACAUAUGUGUAAGUAACUGUGCACAUCUUGAGGGUACCUAAUCAGAAAGCCACGGCUAACUACGUG